Molecule: ribosomal RNA, 497 nt
Filed under: uncultured bacterium
Lineage: Bacteria
Description: partial 16S ribosomal RNA
Rfam family: Bacterial small subunit ribosomal RNA
Source: RNAcentral
GAUGAACGCUGGCGGCGUGCCUAAUACAUGCAAGUCGAGCGAACAGAUAAGGAGCUUGCUCCUUUGACGUUAGCGGCGGACGGGUGAGUAACACGUGGGUAACCUACCUAUAAGACUGGAAUAACUCCGGGAAAGCGGGGCUAACGCCGGAUAACAUUUAGAACCGCAUGGGUCUAAAGAGAAAGAUGGUGUUGCUAUCACUAAUAGAUGGACCCGCGCCGUUUUAGUUGGUUGGUGAGGUAACGGCUUACCAAGGCGACGAUACGUAGACGACCUGAGUGGAUGAUCGGCCACCUGAGAGCGUGGACACGCACCAGGCGCCUACGAGAGGCAGCAGUAGGGAAUGUGCCGCAGUGGGCGAAAGCCUUACGCAGCAAGGCCACGUCAGUGAUGGAGGUCUUCGGAGCGUAAAGCUCUGUUAUGAGUGAUAAACAAAUUUGUAAUUAGAUGAGCACUGCUUGACGGUACCGAGUCAAAAAGCCACGGCUAACUACGUG